GGCUCGAUGGUUUAGUGGUAGAAUACUUGCUUUGGGUUUCAAACCUGCAAGUGCCCCCGGUUCGAUUCCGGGUCGAGCCC
The sequence is a transfer RNA, 80 nucleotides long. It matches the Rfam family "tRNA". From Rfam's summary of the family: Transfer RNA (tRNA) molecules are approximately 80 nucleotides in length. Their secondary structure includes four short double-helical elements and three loops (D, anti-codon, and T loops). The record is from Rfam.